CUGUGUUGCUGGAGUGACUUCAUGCUUGAUUUUAAGGUGCAGGGCCUCCCGGCUACAGAAGAAGGUGCAUCAGUCACCAGUACAGACUGUGACUGAAAACUUCAGAUUCACACCUUUGCAUCUGAACACUGAACCUGUGAUGGACAAUUAUGUCUCACCAGAGAAAAUCUAUCAGAAUUAUAAACCACAAACUACAUUUAUGAGCUAUUAACCAUGUAGGCACCAGCCAUCUAUACUGGCUCAACUAUUAAUUAUACUCAGUAACUUGAACCUGUCCUCGAUCUAGCAAAUCUCAGACCUUAUGCGUAGCAGGACAGCAGAAUACUCUAAACUGACCAAGAAAAGCCUUUCUCUUUCCUGACAUGAAGGGAGACAGGGGAGCAACCUGUUUAAGUUACUGAUUCCUCUCUUUCUGUAAAUAUCAGAAAACAGAUUAAAUAUUUUUUAAACAUUUGAAACUUGUAAAGGCUGAGGUGGAGAAAUACACGAUUUUGAUUUGAGAAUGGGUUCUGAGGUAUGUGCCAUUUCCCCUCACAUCCAUAAUUGAUACAUUUCUGUGACAGAGUAAAAGGCUUGGUGAAAAUGUAGACCACCUUAGCAUCUAGAUUCUCUUUCCUGUCUCAAGAUGGAAACCAGGAAUUGCAAAAAGGAGCCCUAAAAAAAAAAAAAAAAAAAGACGAGAUGAUCUAUCUGGCAGAAAUAUAGGAAUAAACAUUUUGUUCUAGGUAGAUAGUUACAUAUGGCAGAUUAAAAAAAAAAAAGGGUUGAAAAACA
Phasianus colchicus (ring-necked pheasant) is the source of this 774-nucleotide non-coding RNA. The record is from RefSeq and is a predicted model, not a curated record. Lineage: Eukaryota; Metazoa; Chordata; Aves; Galliformes; Phasianidae.